UUCCGUGGUACGUUCUUGAGAAGAAAAAAGUACCUUCAAAGUAUGUAAAGGCAAUCAAGGAUAUGUAUGAUGGUGUUACUACAUGUGUGAAGACUUGUAAUGGCACAUCAAGUUAUUUUCCAAUCACAGUAGGCUUACACCAAGGUUCCGCUUUGAGUCUUUAUCUUUUUGCCCUAGUUAUGGAUGAGCUAACAAAAGAUAUCCAAGAUGAGGUGCCGUGAUGUAUGCUAUUUGCAGAUGAUAUUGUGCUUAUUGAUGAGACCAAGGCUGGGAUUGGCGCUAAAUUAGAAUUAUGGAGAAACACGCUGGAGUCUAAAGGAUUUAUGUUAAGUCGAAAUAAGACCGAAUACAUGAAGUGUGAGUUCAACACGGCAAGAGGAGAAGAUCAAGAAUCCGUAAAUAUGCUCGGACGGGAGAUACCCAAGAAAGAUGCUUUUAGAUAUCUAGGAUCAAUAUUGCAAAAGGGAAAAGAGAUUGAUGAGAAUGUAAGCCAUAGAAUUAGAGCAGGUUGGAUGAAUUGGUGCAGUGCAUCACGGUUUUUGUGUGAUCGCAAAAUCCCUCUUAGGCUAAAAGGAAAAAUUUAUAGAACAAGAAGGCCCGCAAUGCUAUACGGAGCUGAAUGUUGGCCAACACAGAAGCGAUAUAAGCAUAAAAUGGGAGUAGCGAAAAUGAGGAUGUUAAGGUGAAUGUGUAGUCAUAUAAGGAUGGAUAAGAUAAGAAAUAAAGAUAUUCGACGAAAAGUUGGAGUAGUACCGAUGGCGGAAAAGAUGAAAGAACAUAGAUUGAGAUGGUUUGGGCAUAUUCUUCAAAGAUUCCUCGAUGCUACGAUAAGAACAGAAGUUUAUUACCGAGAGCGUGACAUAAAGAAAGGAAGAGAUCAGCCGAAACUAACUUGGGGGAAAGUAGUAAAACAAGAUUUAAUGAAGAGGGAAAUAGAUUAGCGUACGAUUUGUCUUAGAACGGAGUGAAAGAAAGCCAUUAGCAUUGUGGAGGGCGAGAUUUCCUAUUU
Molecule: long non-coding RNA, 1009 nt
Organism: Rhodamnia argentea
Lineage: Eukaryota; Viridiplantae; Streptophyta; Magnoliopsida; Myrtales; Myrtaceae
Exons: 3
Source: RefSeq, a predicted model, not a curated record